GCGUACCUUCAAAAGCCUUUUGGUCCGACCUACAUAUUGUUUGCCACAGUGUCCGUGUGGCAAACAAUAUGUAGGUCGGACCAAAAGGCUUUUGAAGGUACG
Pelobates cultripes (western spadefoot toad) is the source of this 102-nucleotide non-coding RNA. The record is from the annotation of a GenBank genome assembly. Lineage: Eukaryota; Metazoa; Chordata; Amphibia; Anura; Pelobatidae.